This 465-nucleotide ribosomal RNA is filed under the name uncultured bacterium. Its description in RNAcentral is "partial 16S ribosomal RNA". It matches the Rfam family "Bacterial small subunit ribosomal RNA", at positions 338 to 795 of the family's 1533-position model. The record is from RNAcentral.
CCUACGGGAGGCAGCAGUGGGGAAUAUUGCGCAAUGGGCGAAAGCCUGACGCAGCGACGCCGCGUGAGGGAUGAAGGUCUUCGGAUCGUAAACCUCUGUCAGCAGGGAAGAACGGUCACUGUGCUAAUCAGCAGUGAUUUGACGGUACCUGCAAAGGAAGCACCGGCUAACUCCGUGCCAGCAGCCGCGGUAAUACGGAGGUUGCGAGCGUUGAUCGGAAUUAAUGGGCGUAAAGCGCUCGUAGGCGGUAUGUCAAGUCAAGGGUGAAAUCCCCGCGCUCAACGUGGGAACUGCCUUUGAAACUGGCAAACUGGAGUGUGUGAGAGGAUAGUGGAAGUCCAGGUGUAGGAGUGAAAUCCGUAGAUAUAUGGAGGAACACCAGUGGCGAAGGCGACUAUCUGGCACAUAACUGACGCUGAGGAGCGAAAGCGUGGGUAGCGAACAGGAUUAGAUACCCGGGUAGUC